UUUGAAUCGGUGAAGUUUCAGAUCAAAUGACUGAUUCCCAUUUCAAUCGGAAUCGGCAACCGAUACCUGUUUUUUAAACCCUGCUAGUGAUACAAUGUUUGCGAAACCUGGUAUACAGUCCACUGUUUUACUACCAAAUAGGGGGAGGGGACCUUUCUCUCUCUAGCUAAUUAACCUAAGAUACAACGGAAGAAAGCCGACGUCGACACGAACAAGAGGCUAAUUAAACACACAGUGCAAGAUAUCCUUUGAUGUUUGGAAUUAAAUAGCUAUGGUACUAAUAGAAGUAUAAUAAUAAUGAGGAGCAUGUAACUAAUGGCAUGGGAUGUGAGACUACUGGAUCUGCCCCAUAGACGGAAAGAAAUUGCGGUCAAACCAACCCCUGCUUGAAUCAUCAUUUUUCCAAUGGAUGGAACCUUUUGAUGCAUAAGGACUCCAAAGAAGUAAAUCAGGGAGGACAACAUGAAGGUGUAGAGACUGAAGCGAAAUGUGAAGGAACAUGUGGGCUUGCUUCAUAGUAAGAGACUGAAAGAAGCAUUGCAGCCGCUAACUAGAGAUGGAUAUCCAUCUUUGUUGUCUUGAAAUGGUUAGUGCCACAAGAGUGCAUAAUCAACAUUGUUGGGAUUCGGUUGGUGGUAGGUGUAUGCUGUUGCCUGCUUGCAUUUCUACAUCGUGAAGAGGAAGAGGUGGAAGUGGUGCAUGGCUAAGAGGAGAAAGAGAACUUCCUAAGGAACCUUGCAGGGUCUCCCAUCCUUUUGCAUCUUAGCUCAAGAGCUAUGCCUGAGUGAUCUUGUUUGCCUAAUUUAUAGGAGAAAAGGCGUCUUGAAACAUUUUUAAUUUUCUCCUAAUGCAUGUUUCGAAAGACUUGCACUUAGUUUUAUGAAAUGCUAAAAACAUGCUAAGAUCGAUCAGAUAAUGACCAAUGUGGCAUGUAACUGAGGGAAUUGAGGUGACUUCUGUUUGGUGAUUUUCCAGUGUUAAACACCCCUCCAUGGAGCAAUUUAGUGACGUAGUUGAUCGUCUGGUUGAUGGUGACAAAA
Macadamia integrifolia is the source of this 1040-nucleotide long non-coding RNA. RefSeq lists it as uncharacterized. Lineage: Eukaryota; Viridiplantae; Streptophyta; Magnoliopsida; Proteales; Proteaceae. The transcript has 2 exons. The record is from RefSeq and is a predicted model, not a curated record.